GGGGCUGUAGCUCAAUGGCAGAGUGCUUGCCUUGCAUGUAUGAGGCACUGAGUUCGAUCCUCAACACCACA
This 71-nucleotide transfer RNA is filed under the name Marmota monax (woodchuck). Its description in RNAcentral is "tRNA.Ala". It matches the Rfam family "tRNA". From Rfam's summary of the family: Transfer RNA (tRNA) molecules are approximately 80 nucleotides in length. Their secondary structure includes four short double-helical elements and three loops (D, anti-codon, and T loops). Lineage: Eukaryota; Metazoa; Chordata; Mammalia; Rodentia; Sciuridae. The record is from RNAcentral.